CAAACCAAAACCCAAAGUCCACAAAUAAACCCAAAACCCAAAGUCCACAAAUAAACCCAAAACCCAAAGUCCACAAACAAAACCCCAAAACCCAAAACAACCAAAUCCAACCGACCGUAAAGUCAUCAAACUAAACAACCCACAUUCAAACGACCGAAAAGUCGUUAAACUAAACCCAAAUUUCAAAUGAUCAAAACGUCGCUAAACUAAACCCAAAUUUCAAACGACCGAAAAGUCGUUAAACUAAGCCCAAAUUUCAUACGACCGAAAAGUUGUUAAACUAAACCCAAAUUUUAAACGACCGAAACGUCGCUAAACUAAACUCAAAUCCAAACGACCGAAAAGUCGUUAAACUAAACCCAAAUUCCUUAAACCAUGAACCAAAUCCAUAUACCAAACCCAUGAGCCAUAUCCAAGUUCAUGAACCAAAUCCAUACACCAAACCCAUGAGCCAUAUCCAAGUUCAUGAACCAAAUCCAUACACCAAACCCAUGAACCAUAUCCAAGUUCAUGAACCAAAUCCAUACACCAAAUCCAUGAACCAUAUCCAAGUUCAUGAACCGAGUCCAUACACCAAAUUCAUGAACCAUAUCCAAAUUCAUGAACCAAAUCUCAUGAGCCAAUACUCAAAUCUCAUGAGCCAAUACCCAAAUCUCAUCGUGAACCUUUUUUUUACUCUGGCACAUAUACCUAGAGUAAAAAUUAAAUAUCAACUACCCCUAAUACAUAUACUUAGGGCUAAGUCAAUCGCCUUAGCACAUAUAACUAAGGCAAAACAUCUCCAAAUCGACAGAGUUCUAAGUCAUAUACUUAGAAUUCAGUCAAAUGAUAUCAAGUUUAUUCGAACUCUAACAUAUAUACUUAGAGUUCAUCUGACUAACCCUAACACAUAUACUUAGGGUCUAGUCAGCCUUUUGCUCUAGCACAUAUACCUAGAGUGGAAGUCAAACCAUGGUCGACUAACCCAAACCCAUAUACUUAGGGUCUAGUCAGUCUUUUGCUCUAGCACAUAUACCUAGAGUGGAAGUCAAACCAUGGUCGACUAACCCUAACCCAUAUGCUUAGGGUCUAGUCAGUCUUUUGCUCUAGCACAUAUACCUAGAGUGAAAGUCAAACCAUGCUCGACCAACCCUAACACAUAUACUUUAGGGUCUAGUCAAUCUUUUGCUCUAGCACAUAUACCUAGAAUGGAAGUAAAAUCAUGGUCGACUAACCCUAACCUAUAUACUUAGGGUCCAGUCAGUCUUUUGCUCUAGCACAUAUAUCUAGAGUGAAAGUCAAACCAUGCUCGACUAACCCUGACACAUAUACUUAGGGUCUAGUCAGUCUUUUGCUCUAGCACAUAUACCUAGAGUGGAAGUCAAACCAUG
This 1370-nucleotide long non-coding RNA is filed under the name Ananas comosus (pineapple). RNAcentral describes it as "long non-coding RNA (ACOM_LNC013278)". The record is from RNAcentral. Lineage: Eukaryota; Viridiplantae; Streptophyta; Magnoliopsida; Poales; Bromeliaceae.